This 446-nucleotide ribosomal RNA is filed under the name uncultured bacterium. RNAcentral's name for it is "partial 16S ribosomal RNA". It matches the Rfam family "Bacterial small subunit ribosomal RNA", at positions 338 to 795 of the family's 1533-position model. The record is from RNAcentral.
CCUACGGGUGGCAGCAGUCGAGAAUCAUUCACAAUGGGGGAAACCCUGAUGGUGCGACGCCGCGUGGGGGAAUGAAGGUCUUCGGAUUGUAAACCCCUGUCAUGUGGGAGCAAAUUAAAAAGAUAGUACCACAAGAGGAAGCGACGACUGACUCUGUGCCAGCAGCCGCGGUAAUACAGAGGUCUCAAGCGUUGUUCGGAAUCACUGGGCGUAAAGCGUGCGUAGGCUGUUGCGUAAGUCGUGUGUGAAAGGCGCGGGCUCAACCCGCGGACGGCACAUGAUACUGCGAGACUAGAGUACUGGAGGGGGAACCGGAAUUCUCGGUGUAGCAGUGAAAUGCGUAGAUAUCGAGAGGAACACUCGUGGCGAAGGCGGGUUCCUGGACAUUAACUGACGCUGAGGCACGAAGGCCAGGGGAGCGAAAGGGAUUAGAUACCCGGGUAGUC